ACAUGCAAGUAGAACGCUGAAGAGAGGAGCUUGCUCUUCUUGGAUGAGUUGCGAACGGGUGAGUAACGCGUAGGUAACCUGCCUUGUAGCGGGGGAUAAUUAUUGGAAACGAUAGCUAAUACCGCAUAACAAUGGAUGACCCAUGUCAUUUAUUUGAAAGGGGCAAAUGCUCCACUACAAGAUGGACCUGCGUUGUAUUAGCUAGUAGGUGAGGUAACGGCUCACCUAGGCGACGAUACAUAGCCGACCUGAGAGGGUGAUCGGCCACACUGGGACUGAGACACGGCCCAGACUCCUACGGGAGGCAGCAGUAGGGAAUCUUCGGCAAUGGGGGCAACCCUGACCGAGCAACGCCGCGUGAGUGAAGAAGGUUUUCGGAUCGUAAAGCUCUGUUGUAAGUCAAGAACGAGUGUGAGAGUGGAAAGUUCACACUGUGACGGUAGCUUACCAGAAAGGGACGGCUAACUACGUGCCAGCAGCCGCGGUAAUACGUAAGUCCCGAGCGUUGUCCGGAUUUAUUGGGCGUAAAGCGAGCG
Molecule: ribosomal RNA, 536 nt
Filed under: uncultured Bacilli bacterium
Lineage: Bacteria; Bacillati; Bacillota; Bacilli
Description: bacterial SSU rRNA
Rfam family: Bacterial small subunit ribosomal RNA
Source: RNAcentral